This 529-nucleotide unclassified non-coding RNA is filed under the name Hevea brasiliensis (rubber tree). Lineage: Eukaryota; Viridiplantae; Streptophyta; Magnoliopsida; Malpighiales; Euphorbiaceae. The record is from RNAcentral.
AGGCUAUAAUGAGGCUAUAUCAAAGAAUGCCUAAAUCAUCUCUUAAUCAAGUGUAAGCUAGGAUUUCACCUUGAUAGGUUUAAAAGACCUGUUCUAGGACUAGUGAGACAAUUAGAAAAUCACAUCCAUGCAUAUAUACUUACUCUAAGAACUCACAAUUUCGUUGCAAUGGAAUGAUGCACACAUGCUCAGGAAAAAUAAUCUACAUAAAGCUAAAUAUCAAUUCCAUUUUGAAUAUUCUUCUUCUUAUACAUUUUUAACUAAUCAACAUAUCAAGCCCUCUCAAAGUCAUUUCAAUCAUGUAUCAAAACAAUUCUCAUCAUAUCAAAAGAGUCAAAAAAUGCAAAAACAAUUUAUUGAUUUUAUAACUAAAUGCAAAAAUUUUAAAAAUAUCUACCUAAAAUGCAAAACAAACUUAAAAUGCUAAUUUUAUUGCAUCCCCAAACUCAAAUUUGGCAUUGUCCUUAAUUUCAUCAAGAUAGCAUAAUCAGCUAAAGAGCAAUAUUAUAAAUGCAACCAAUAAGGAAAA